GAUGAACGCUCGCUCCAGGCUUAACACAUGCAAGUCGAGGGGCAGCAUGGUCUUAGCUUGCUAAGGCCGAUGGCGACCGGCGCACGGGUGAGUAACACGUAUCCAACCUGCCGUCUACUCUUGGACAGCCUUCUGAAAGGAAGAUUAAUACAAGAUGGCAUCAUGAGUCCGCAUGUUCACAUGAUUAAAGGUAUUCCGGUAGACGAUGGGGAUGCGUUCCAUUAGAUAGUAGGCGGGGUAACGGCCCACCUAGUCUUCGAUGGAUAGGGGUUCUGAGAGGAAGGUCCCCCACAUUGGAACUGAGACACGGUCCAAACUCCUACGGGAGGCAGCAGUGAGGAAUAUUGGUCAAUGGGCGAGAGCCUGAACCAGCCAAGUAGCGUGAAGGACGACUGCCCUAUGGGUUGUAAACUUCUUUUAGAAAGGAAUAAAGUCGGGUAUGGAUACCCGUUUGCAUGUACUUUAUGAAUAAGGAUCGGCUAACUCCGUG
RNAcentral lists this ribosomal RNA (490 nucleotides) under uncultured bacterium. RNAcentral's name for it is "partial 16S ribosomal RNA". It matches the Rfam family "Bacterial small subunit ribosomal RNA", at positions 28 to 507 of the family's 1533-position model. The record is from RNAcentral.